UACGUAGGGGGCUAGCGUUGUCCGGAAUCAUUGGGCGUAAAGCGCGUGUAGGCGGUCUGGUAAGUCCGCUGUGAAAGCCGGGGGCUCAACCCUCGGAUGCCGGUGGAUACUGUCGGGCUUGAGUACGGAAGAGGCGAGUGGAAUUCCUGGUGUAGCGGUGAAAUGCGCAGAUAUCAGGAGGAACACCAAUUGCGAAGGCAGCUCGCUGGGACGUUACUGACGCUGAGACGCGAAAGCGUGGGGAGCAAACAGG
This 253-nucleotide ribosomal RNA is filed under the name uncultured bacterium. RNAcentral's name for it is "partial 16S ribosomal RNA". It matches the Rfam family "Bacterial small subunit ribosomal RNA", at positions 524 to 776 of the family's 1533-position model. The record is from RNAcentral.